This 353-nucleotide ribosomal RNA is filed under the name uncultured Bacteroidota bacterium. RNAcentral describes it as "bacterial SSU rRNA". It matches the Rfam family "Bacterial small subunit ribosomal RNA", at positions 143 to 498 of the family's 1533-position model. Lineage: Bacteria; Pseudomonadati; Bacteroidota. The record is from RNAcentral.
AUAGCCCAGAGAAAUUUGGAUUAAUACCUCAUAGUAUUAUUAUAGGCAUCUAUUUAUAAUUAAAACUUCGGUGGUUAAAGAUGAGCAUGCGUCCUAUUAGCUUGUUGGUAAGGUAAAAGCUUACCAAGGCUACGAUAGGUAGGGGGCCUGAGAGGGUGACCCCCCACACUGGUACUGAGACACGGACCAGACUCCUACGGGAGGCAGCAGUGAGGAAUAUUGCACAAUGGAGGAAACUCUGAUGCAGCCAUGCCGCGUGCAGGAUGAAUGCCCUAUGGGUUGUAAACUGCUUUUCUGCAAGAAGAAACCUUAGUACGGUACUAAGCUGACGGUAUGUAGGAUAAGCACCGGCU